GAUGAUCGUUUAUCCGUGUAUCAAUUAGAACUAGACAAGGUAAAUACAGCGAAAUAGAAAAUUUGGAAUAAUAGAAAUUGGGCAGAAACUUGUUAGGAAUUCAUAUAUCGUAGUAAAUAUUACAACGAAGCGACUUAACUGUGGGCGAAUCACUUAAAAUACAGACGAAUACAGACGUAAAUAUAGAUUGCUUUUUAAGCUAUGCUAUGAAGGUAUAUAAGGACAAGUUAACAUUCAAGAUUAAGACGUGACGAUAUUAUUAAUGAACCGUGGAAUAAAUAUAAGCAUAGAGCGAAUCGGGGAGACUUGACAUUGGAAAGCAAUAGCUGGAAGUAAAUAUUAUGCCGGAAAAAAAGUACAAAAGUCGGGCU
Cinara cedri is the source of this 371-nucleotide non-coding RNA. Lineage: Eukaryota; Metazoa; Arthropoda; Insecta; Hemiptera; Aphididae. The record is from the annotation of a GenBank genome assembly.